UGCCUCUCGGUAGUUUGGUGCAUGCCCAAGU
This 31-nucleotide non-coding RNA is filed under the name Rattus norvegicus (Norway rat). The record is from RNAcentral. Lineage: Eukaryota; Metazoa; Chordata; Mammalia; Rodentia; Muridae.